UAACUUGAGAGUUUGAUCCUGGCUCAGAACGAACGCUGGCGGCAGGCCUCAAACAUGCAAGUCUAGGGGGCGUAGCAAUACGUCACCGGCGGACGGGUGCGUAACACGUGGGAAUGUACCUAUUGGUUCGGAACAACGCAGGGAAACUUGCGCUAAUACCGAAUGUGCCCGAAAGGGGAAAGAUUUAUCGCCAAUAGAUCAGCCCGCGUCCGAUUAGCUAGUUGGUAGGGUAAUGGCCUACCAAGGCGACGAUCGGUAGCUGUUCUGAGAGGAAGAUCAGCCACACUGGGACUGAGACACGGCCCAGACUCCUACGGGAGGCAGCAGUUGGGAAUCUUGGACAAUGGGGGAAACCCUGAUCCAGCCAUGCCGCGUGAGUGAUGAAGGCCUUAGGGUUGUAAAGCU
RNAcentral lists this ribosomal RNA (405 nucleotides) under Alphaproteobacteria bacterium. Its description in RNAcentral is "bacterial SSU rRNA". It matches the Rfam family "Bacterial small subunit ribosomal RNA", at positions 1 to 432 of the family's 1533-position model. Lineage: Bacteria; Pseudomonadati; Pseudomonadota; Alphaproteobacteria. The record is from RNAcentral.